GUCUCUGAAGAGUUUACCAUUCCUCACUCUCAUUUUACAGCACAUUAAAAACACAUUUCUCUUACAGAUGACUCAGGCGAACAUCACAGAGUGUCCCCUAUGGAUCAUGUAGUAGAUUACACUACAUCAGAAUGAACCUGUGUGUAUGUGUGUCAUAUGAACAUUUAUAUCAGUGGUGUCCAAAGGUAUUUUAGAAAUAGAAUAAAAGUUGGCCCGCUGUUAAGCAGGUUUUUAUAAUGUGAGAUUCAAAGUUUGAACGCUAGGUGUCAGAAACGGGCCAAAGAGUCUAAAAGCGGAGAGAGUGCGCAUUUCUAGCGCAGAAAAACGGGCCAAAGAGUCUAAAAGAGGAGAGAGUGUGCAUUCCUAGCGCAGAAAAACGGGGCAAAGAGUCUAAAAGCAGAGAGAGUGCACAUUUCUAGCGCAGAAAAACGGGCCAAAGAGUCUAAAAGCAGAGAGAGUGCACAUUUCUAGCGCAGAAAAACGGGCCAAAGAGUCUA
Long non-coding RNA from Astyanax mexicanus (Mexican tetra), 497 nucleotides. RefSeq lists it as uncharacterized. The record is from RefSeq and is a predicted model, not a curated record. NCBI's taxonomy places the organism in Eukaryota, Metazoa, Chordata, Actinopteri, Characiformes, Acestrorhamphidae. The transcript has 2 exons.